UACGUAGGGGGCAAGCGUUGUCCGGAAUCAUUGGGCGUAAAGCGCGCGUAGGCGGCCCGGUAAGUCCGCUCUGAAAGUCCAGGGCUCAACCCUGGAAAGCGGGUGGAUACUGCCGGGCUAGAAUCCGGAAGAGGCGAGUGGAAUUCCUGGUGUAGCGGUGGAAUGCGCAGAUAUCGGGAGGAACACCGGUGGCGAAGGCGGUUCUCUGGGCCUUACCUGACGCUGAGGAGCGAAAGCGUGGGGAGCGAACAGG
RNAcentral lists this ribosomal RNA (253 nucleotides) under uncultured bacterium. Its description in RNAcentral is "partial 16S ribosomal RNA". It matches the Rfam family "Bacterial small subunit ribosomal RNA", at positions 524 to 776 of the family's 1533-position model. The record is from RNAcentral.